UAAGAUAAGAUAUCUCAUCCCUUAAAGGGAGUAAGGCCACUGAUAGACGAUCAGGUGAUAGGCUGGAGGUGAAAGCACAGCAAUGUGUUCAGCUGACCAGUACUAAUCGGCCGAGGUCUUGAUCCAAG
RNAcentral lists this ribosomal RNA (128 nucleotides) under Eubacteriaceae bacterium. RNAcentral describes it as "partial 23S ribosomal RNA". It matches the Rfam family "Bacterial large subunit ribosomal RNA", at positions 2800 to 2925 of the family's 2925-position model. The record is from RNAcentral. Lineage: Bacteria; Bacillati; Bacillota; Clostridia; Eubacteriales; Eubacteriaceae.